UACGUAGGGCGCAAGCGUUAUCCGGAAUUAUUGGGCGUAAAGAGCGUGUAGGCGGUUUGGUAGGUCCGUUGUGAAAACUCGAGGCUCAACCUCGAGACGCCGAUGGAAACCAUCAGACUAGAGUCCGGAAGAGGAGAGUGGAAUUCCUGGUGUAGCGGUGAAAUGCGCAGAUAUCAGGAAGAACACCCGUGGCUAAGGCGGCUCUCUAGUACGGUACUGACGCUGAGACGCGAAAGCGUGGGGAGCGAACAGG
RNAcentral lists this ribosomal RNA (253 nucleotides) under uncultured bacterium. RNAcentral describes it as "partial 16S ribosomal RNA". It matches the Rfam family "Bacterial small subunit ribosomal RNA", at positions 524 to 776 of the family's 1533-position model. The record is from RNAcentral.